GGUGGCUCAGUGAUAGAGCACUUGCCUUGCAUGCAUGAGACCCUGGGUUCGAUUCCUCAGCACCA
Molecule: transfer RNA, 65 nt
Filed under: Dipodomys ordii (Ord's kangaroo rat)
Lineage: Eukaryota; Metazoa; Chordata; Mammalia; Rodentia; Heteromyidae
Rfam family: tRNA
About the family: Transfer RNA (tRNA) molecules are approximately 80 nucleotides in length.
Source: Rfam by way of RNAcentral